This 186-nucleotide unclassified non-coding RNA is filed under the name uncultured Ascomycota. RNAcentral's name for it is "sequence contains ITS2". Lineage: Eukaryota; Fungi; Ascomycota. The record is from RNAcentral.
GCAACCCCUCAAGCACGGCUUGUGUGUUGGAUCAUCGUGCCGACGCGUCUCCUUUCCGGGGGGCGGUCGUGGGUACGGGUCUGAAAUGCAGUGGCGGCGUCACGGCUCGACCUCGCAAGCGUAUGGGGCUCUGUCACACGCUGGGCGGUCGGGCGUACCUACGCCUGUCAAAAACCAUCUUCCUCA